RNAcentral lists this transfer RNA (72 nucleotides) under Bos taurus (domestic cattle). It matches the Rfam family "tRNA". Rfam says of the family: Transfer RNA (tRNA) molecules are approximately 80 nucleotides in length. Their secondary structure includes four short double-helical elements and three loops (D, anti-codon, and T loops). The record is from Rfam by way of RNAcentral. Lineage: Eukaryota; Metazoa; Chordata; Mammalia; Artiodactyla; Bovidae.
UCCCUGGUGGCUCAGAUGGUAAAGAAUCUGCCUACAAUGCAGGAGACCCAGGUUCAAACCUGAGUCAGGGAU